AAAAAGGCAGCUAGCAGAAUGUAGCCAUCUUGUCUUCCCUUUUAGUCAAUGAAGAGCAAUAGUCUUCUUGAACUGUGGGACAUUCUGUCCUGAUAGAGGGAAAGGUUGUGGCACGCUACACACUGAAUUUCUGCUUCAGCACUUGUGUAACGCCUGGAUGCUGUAUCAGAGGCGGGACCAGUGGGUGGCUGUGCACAAAGCAGAGUGUUGAACCUGAUGCCUACAGGAUCCGUGGGAGAAGCCUUUUGGGUAGGAGUGAGGAUCUGACUGAUGAUCAAGCUGUGAUUCGGGCCUCCAAGCCAGAGAAAACACACAAGAGUGCUGUAAAAGGUACGGAAACAGAGGAUCAAGAGAGUACAAGGAAGCCUGCCAGAUCUGCGUGGUAUCCUAAGCUCCACCAGCCUGUUUGGCAGCCUUCUCUUUGCAGUGCAACAAGAGUCACUGUCAUGAGCUGGCUGCACACUGAGGGGUCGGAUCUGUGACCUCAUAUUUCAGCCCUGCGCUCCUGUAGUGGCUCAGCUGACCCCUGCAGCCAGGGAUCAGAUGGAAAGCCAUUAGGGGUGGUUCCUUACCAGCACAAUGUCCAGACUCAUGUCACUGCUGCUUCGAGUCACCCUGGGAGCAAUCAUCCAUGCAUUGAUUUUAUGGCAGGGCUGACACUUGCCUUCAUUCUUUUGGAGCCGGAGAGAAUUGCUCUUAACCAUGCCCCCUGCCGCCUCGGGAUAUAAUCUCAGGAGCAUAGUUUAGGGGCACAGUCAGCUUCAAGGAGCAUUACUUUGCUUCAGUGCAUUUUUAUGUGUUUUCUUUUCCCUGCAGGCUUUUCUCUGCUAAGGGGGAUUUUUGGACCAGUGAAUGCACUUUUUUUUUUUUUUUCCCUGUUUCUUUUCUUUUUCUUAUU
Molecule: long non-coding RNA, 898 nt
Filed under: Anas zonorhyncha (Eastern spot-billed duck)
Lineage: Eukaryota; Metazoa; Chordata; Aves; Anseriformes; Anatidae
Description: lncRNA (ENSAZOG00000008470.1)
Source: RNAcentral